Ctenocephalides felis (cat flea) is the source of this 105-nucleotide small nuclear RNA. NCBI's taxonomy places the organism in Eukaryota, Metazoa, Arthropoda, Insecta, Siphonaptera, Pulicidae. The record is from RefSeq and is a predicted model, not a curated record.
UUCUUGUUCGGAAGAACACGUACAAAAAUUGGAACGAUACAGAGCAGAUUGGCAUGGCCCAUACGCAAGGAUGGUGAGCAAAAUCGUGAAGCGUUUCACUUAUUU